Molecule: unclassified non-coding RNA, 311 nt
Filed under: plant metagenome
Description: partial contains 5.8S ribosomal RNA, internal transcribed spacer 2, and large subunit ribosomal RNA
Rfam family: 5.8S ribosomal RNA (bases 1-105)
Source: RNAcentral
GAAAUGCGAUACGUAGUGUGAAUUGCAGAAUUCAGUGAAUCAUCGAAUCUUUGAACGCACAUUGCGCCCUUUGGUAUUCCAAAGGGCAUGCCUGUUCGAGCGUCAUUUGUACCCUCAAGCUUUGCUUGGUGUUGGGCGUUUUUUGUCUUUGGUUGCCAAAGACUCGCCUUAAAAGGAUUGGCAGCCGUCCUACUGGUUUCGCAGCGCAGCACAUUUUUGCGCUUGCAACCAGCAAAAGAGGACGGCAAUCCAUCAAGACUCCUUUUCACGUUUGACCCCGGAUCGGGUAGGGAUACCCGCUGAACUUAAGC